This 85-nucleotide transfer RNA is filed under the name bacterium (Candidatus Torokbacteria) CG_4_10_14_0_2_um_filter_35_8. RNAcentral's name for it is "tRNA-Leu". It matches the Rfam family "tRNA". From Rfam's summary of the family: Transfer RNA (tRNA) molecules are approximately 80 nucleotides in length. Their secondary structure includes four short double-helical elements and three loops (D, anti-codon, and T loops). The record is from RNAcentral.
GCCGAAGUGGUGAAAUUGGUAAACACAUACGCUUCAGGUGCGUAUUUCCCUUUGGGAUUUAAGGGUUCAAAUCCCUUCUUCGGCA